UAGCACUUUGCCCAGAGCGACAAAGUAAGACUACCUCCAGUUUAAGAAGUGCAAUAUUAAAACAAAAGCCAUGAGUCUUUUAAGCCCAGUGUGUAAAGAUACACUCUGAGUUAUAACUCAGAGGCACAAUA
Nycticebus coucang (slow loris) is the source of this 131-nucleotide non-coding RNA. RefSeq annotates it as small Cajal body-specific RNA 1. The transcript has a single exon. The record is from RefSeq and is a predicted model, not a curated record. NCBI's taxonomy places the organism in Eukaryota, Metazoa, Chordata, Mammalia, Primates, Lorisidae.